RNAcentral lists this ribosomal RNA (497 nucleotides) under uncultured bacterium. RNAcentral's name for it is "partial 16S ribosomal RNA". It matches the Rfam family "Bacterial small subunit ribosomal RNA", at positions 28 to 507 of the family's 1533-position model. The record is from RNAcentral.
GAUGAACGCUGGCGGCGUGCCUAAUACAUGCAAGUCGAGCGAACAGACGAGGAGCUUGCUCCUCUGACGUUAGCGGCGGACGGGUGAGUAACACGUGGAUAACCUACCUAUAAGACUGGGAUAACUUCGGGAAACCGGAGCUAAUACCGGAUAAUAUAUUGAACCGCAUGGUUCAAUAGUGAAAGACGGUUUUGCUGUCACUUAUAGAUGGAUCCGCGCUGCAUUAGCUAGUUGGUAAGGUAACGGCUUACCAAGGCGACGAUGCGUAGCCGACCUGAGAGGGUGAUCGGCGACACUGGAACUGAGACACGGUCCAGACUCCUACGGGAGGCAGCAGUAGGGAAUCUUACGCAAUGGGCGAAAGCCUGACGGAGCAACGCCGCGUGAGUGAUGAAGGUCUUCGGAUCGUAAAACUCUGUUAUUAGGGAAGAACAAAUGUGUAAGUAACUGUGCACGUCUUGACGGUACCUAAUCAGAAAGCCACGGCUAACUACGUG